GGGGUCUCCUUUUAUAGGCGGAGGGCGUAACAGAUCGACAGUGACAUCUGUAACCACCUGGUAGUGGGUCGUUCGGGGCCAUGAGGAGUUUGUUACGGAGAGUAGUGGAGUGGAGUCGUGGCCAUCACCGUAGCCUGCCACGUGGAGCCUGUUGUGGAGAGUGGAGUGAUGCCCAUUGUCGUGACUUGCCAGAGCAUGAUGUAGCUGCGUGGGAUCCGUUACAGGAAGUGGAGCAGAGUCGUGGCCAUUACUAUGGCCUG
RNAcentral lists this long non-coding RNA (260 nucleotides) under Elaeis guineensis (African oil palm). Its description in RNAcentral is "long non-coding RNA (EGUI_LNC051121)". The record is from RNAcentral. Lineage: Eukaryota; Viridiplantae; Streptophyta; Magnoliopsida; Arecales; Arecaceae.